Molecule: non-coding RNA, 110 nt
Submitted as: unclassified sequences
Source: Rfam
UCACCGCCGGGAAGCGAUGAUCCUCGAGGGGAGCUGACGGUCGCUCGGAGGAGGCCAAGGCCUCGUCCGCCCGUCGAGGGGAGCUAGUGGCGAGCCCGACCCGGGAGUGC